CUCAGUGGGGCCAUUCCCUCUGCUGGGCCUCAGUGGGGCCAAUAUCUCUCAGCUGGGCCUCAGUGGGGCCAAUCCCUCCACUGGGCCACAGCCAGGUCAACAGUGGGGUCCUCAACGAGGCCUCAGCAGGGUAAGCCCUCAGCAGGGGCCUCAUCCAUCCCCUCACCCAGGCCCCCAGCUGGGCUUCAGUCAGACCCUCAGUGGGACCCUCAGCAGGACCAGGCGCUCCUCCAGGCACUCGUCCUGGGCCUCUGCCAGCCCCACAGCUGGGCCUCGGCCGGGCUGGGCUGGGCUGGAGCGACCCUCAGACCACAAACCUGUGGCUGCCCCAUGCCACCAUUGUCCCGGGCCGGAGCUGCUCUCUGUGUCUUCCCAACUUGGCCAUGUCAGUCCCUCUGCAAAGCCAGGCUGUGCCGGGCAUGGCUGCCAUCAGCCUGACCCCUGGGCACGCUGCUCCUCCCAGCAACAGGCAGACACAGGCUGGGCCUGCACACCCGCAGCACUCGGCAGCCAAACCCAUGCAGGCCCCAGGAUGGGCCGCCCACAUCCCAAAGCCCCUCGGGGCCCUGUGGGUUCCCAUGGAUGAAGGUCCCUGCAGCGUGGCUCCCUGCAGCCUCCCGUGUCCCAGCCCUGACUGGGGCACCCAGGCAUUGGCCCACGGGGUCUCAUUGCCACCCAGUGGGUCCCCAUGGUUCCCUGCUCAAGGCAUCCCGGUGCACACCGAUGAAGCCUGCACCGACACUGGGAGCUGCAGGAGCUGCCAGCAAGUCCAGCCGGCAGGUUCAGCCAUCCCACCAGGAGCAGUGCCUAUGACAUGGCUGGCACCCACCCUUGGACACUGCAGGGAGCACAGAGAGGCAAAGCGGAGAGCACUGGAUGUGCCACCUCCGGAGGACACUCCCCACGCACAGAGCUCUGCAGCCGUGUGAAAGCAGUGGGAGAGGCCCACGGGCAGUCCCUCGGGCUGAACGGCCCCAUCCCAGUCACCUUCGUGUGCCACAUGUGGACAGCAGCACAAGUCCUGUGUGCCACACACAGCCUGCAGCCCCGGGGAAUGCGGCCCAUGGGCACCCAUCCCUGUUGGGAGGCACAGAGAGGUGCUGGAGGAGAUUCCUAAGAGUUACAGCACUUCAGACUGAGCGCCAGGAGAGCCCCUCCACAAGUGGGAGCUCACUCACAAACAGAGCAAUGCAGGGCUCAUAGAGACGUGCAGCAGGAUGGGUGCUUCAGACUGAGCCACGCCGCUCCAGAGGGAACGGAGCUGCUGUGAAUUACCAGGAAAGGAGCAGAGAAUGGAACAGCGCCUCCUGAGGUGUCACAUCUUAUUGUCCCACAUCGUGAGAAAUCGGACAAAUACAGGAAUGAUGAAGCACGGGGAAGGACUGAGUGGGCUCCACAGGCUGGAAGAGGCAACCCAGAGGUGGAAGACGCAGUCUGGAAGAGGUGACCAAGGCGUGGAGGAUGCAGUGGUUGGCGGUGGGGACACGGCUGUGUGCUCAGCACAAGGACCAGGGCUAUGGCAGGAGCCAUUGGGUUGAAGGAAGUAUUUUCUGGGCAGUGGAGCUGAGGGACCCCCUGCUGCAGGAUGAAGGCCAGAAGUCUGUAUUGGCUCAAAAAGCCAUUGCAGUAAGCCACAGAGGGAAACUCGUCAAAGAUUCCUGCAGAAUUACAAGGCAGAGCUACGUGCCAGGAGCCACCAGAGCCACAGCUCGGGCUGCAGAGCAUAUACCAACCGAGUGCUGCUGUAUUCUGCUGCUGUGCUCUUAUGCUGCUCCUUGCACACGUGCUCUUGGCUGGCACUAGUGCUGGACGGGGCACACACGGACCCCCCCUGCUGAUGGCACCAGUCCGUGCCACAGGUUCUGGCGGGGCCAUGGGACCGGUAUGGUGCCGGCUGUCAGAAGAUGGUGGGCAGGAGGUCCAAAAGGAGCUGGUGCCAUUCCCUGCCCCAGCCCAUUCGGUGAGCCAGGAGGCUCCAGAUGGCUUCCCUGGGCUCCGACUGUGCUCCCAUAGGAAGCUGGAUUUCCAAAAAAGAAGCUGAAUGAAAACAGGACACUGUGUAAGGAGAGAUCUGCAUACAUUUGCAUAGUUAUGAGCUAGUUGCAUAACGGAAUGCUGCUGAACAGCAUCUGAACACUCUUUGGAGACACGGGGGCAACAGGGGAAGGAAAGGGCUGGGUGGACAGGAGGUGCUGCCCAGUUCCUUUGGGAGCAUCACACCACAGUGGAGCGCUGGGGAGCUUCUCUGUUUGAUGGGAGAAGAUUGGGUUUGGGAGCAGAAGCACCCAAUUGCUGUGCCCAGGGGUCACAGCCACAAGCAGGGAAGGGGCAGCGUACCCACAGCAUGGGCAGCUUUCCCUGCUCUGAUGGCAUUCCCUGCCAUGGGGGCCAUAGACCCCCUGGGUGUGCCCCCAGGUGUGGGAUUUAGAGCCCACCCACCCCGUUGCCUCCAGUAGGGCACACCAACCCGCCCCGACAAAGCCAACACGGGCAGCAUGCCUGCUCCCUGCCCCACGCACAUCUGCAAAAUGGGGUGGGCAUCCCCUGCCUCUGCUCCAGGGGUCGUUCCAGCCCCCCACCCCCACCCCCCAGCAGCCCCCAGGCUUUCAGCCAUUCGGUACCAAUGUCCUUUGUAUGCAGAGUCCAUCCAUCGCUUGGAGCAGAUCUCCUGCUGCUCUGCUGCUGGGUGCUGAUAAACCACCCCGAGCAAUCUUAUCGCCCGUUCCAUGCGCUAUCACUCCGUGCUGCUCCCACCUCUGCUCUGCAUUCCUUCAGCCGCUCUCCUCUGCUCCUUUCCUAUAUGAGUGUUUUUCAGCAGGGCUGCUCGAUGUCUGUGAGCUGUGCUCUGUUCGGCCUGGCGCUGCCUCUCCUGGACACACAUCCCAGCAGAGUUAACCCACCACGUCUCUGGGGCUGCAGUCUGCAUUCAUCCUGGGGCUGCUGGUUGCAUUUCCCAGCCCAGGCUCCUAACGCAUGGCACAAACACUCAUUCGGUGAGCGCAGGGCAUGACUUUGCAUUUUGCACCGUUCCAUUUCCUCCCGCCACUCUCAGUUCAAUGUCAUCCAUCGCUCCGAGAGCUGCUCCAGCCCUCACCUGUUGGCUGAGCCCGCUGGCACGCACCUGAUGUUGUGCCAAAGCCUUUGAUGAAGAUACGGCAUUGAUUUGACUUUCAGAGUCCAUAUUCCCCUUUCAGCACAAAGCAAUCUCCCGGCGGCAGGGAGGACCUUGGCUCUGCUUACCCUGCUGCAGCCACGAGGCUGAUACAGGAGACCAAAGUUAUCUUCUGCCUUUGCUGCUUACUGGCUCUGCCGCUGCGUGCAACUGCUCUGCUUUUGCUUUAGCAGCACAAAACCGGGGGUCAGCAGUGACAUUCCGGGGUGUCUCUGCUUUUGUCUCCUCCUCCAGAGGCGAACGCAGCAUCACCUUUAAGCUCAGCCUGUUGCUUUCUCCUGAUGAAAGAAGUCAGACAGGGAAAAGGAACGGAAGAUAUCGUUACGAUGAAAUCCCAGCUUCAUUUUCCACUUAACUGGUUCUACUUCUUUUUCUGCUCAAAAUUAAGUGUUUAAAAGCUGUUGGGACGGGGAACUCGCCAGCUCUCAUGUGCACUUAACUCCUUCCUGCAGUCACAGCAUGGGGCCACGUCCCCCACAUCCCCCUGGGCUGAAGCAUCCCAGGCACAGCAGGCGCCCGCCCUGCUCUCCCCGCGCACGCUGCAGGGUGGGGGUGCUCGGGCUGCACCUAUGGGUGCUGCUCCACUGCAUCCACCAGCAUUCCCCAGGGCCAGGAUGUCCAUACAGGGCAGGGGG
This 3807-nucleotide long non-coding RNA is filed under the name Gallus gallus (chicken). Lineage: Eukaryota; Metazoa; Chordata; Aves; Galliformes; Phasianidae. The record is from RNAcentral.